Molecule: ribosomal RNA, 404 nt
Filed under: uncultured bacterium
Lineage: Bacteria
Description: bacterial SSU rRNA
Rfam family: Bacterial small subunit ribosomal RNA
Source: RNAcentral
AUUGAACGCUGGCGGCAUGCCUUACACAUGCAAGUCGAACGGCAGCACGGGAGCUUGCUCCUGGUGGCGAGUGGCUAACGGGUGAGUAAUACAUCGGAACGUACCCUGAAGUGGGGGAUAACGUAGCGAAAGUUACGCUAAUACCGCAUAUUCUGUGAGCAGGAAAGAGGGGGAUCGCAAGACCUCUUGCUUUAGGAGCGGCCGAUGUCGGAUUAGCUAGUUGGUGAGGUAAAGGCUCACCAAGGCGACGAUCCGUAGCGGGUCUGAGAGGAUGAUCCGCCACACUGGGACUGAGACACGGCCCAGACUCCUACGGGAGGCAGCAGUGGGGAAUUUUGGACAAUGGCGCAAGCCUGAUCCAGCCAUGCCGCGUGAGUGAAGAAAGUCUUCGGGUUGUAAAGCUC